Molecule: long non-coding RNA, 333 nt
Organism: Peromyscus eremicus (cactus mouse)
Lineage: Eukaryota; Metazoa; Chordata; Mammalia; Rodentia; Cricetidae
Exons: 2
Source: RefSeq, a predicted model, not a curated record
ACUCUCCAAUAAUUACACAGGCCUUCAGUGCCAGAUUGGGACAGCUGAGGCACCCAACUUCAUGAACUGAGUACCUAUCAGAACCCCAGCCUCUCCAGCAUGCUGGUGACCAUUGUUGGAUUAUCCAGCUCCUAUUGUGGACGGAUGGGAUAGGCAUUUCUCGUGAAAGAAUUGCCAACCCAGGAAGAAGAAGCAAUGAAGAAUUACAGCACAUUUUCAGAACACACAAUGGUCAUAGUGGAGCUAAUUCAUGCAAAAAAAAUGUGAAAAUGAUGAGUGAAAUACUUUGGGAGCUUUUAACGAAGAGAAUAUAAUGGUAAAGUUUGGCUGGUU